This 299-nucleotide ribosomal RNA is filed under the name Dictyothrips betae. RNAcentral describes it as "partial 28S ribosomal RNA". It matches the Rfam family "Eukaryotic large subunit ribosomal RNA", at positions 674 to 944 of the family's 3401-position model. Lineage: Eukaryota; Metazoa; Arthropoda; Insecta; Thysanoptera; Thripidae. The record is from RNAcentral.
UCUAACAUGUGCGCGAGUCAUUGGGCUCUGCGAAACCUAAAGGCGAAAUGAAAGUAAAGGCUAGCUUGCUAGCUUAGGGGUGAUGACCGUUCCUUUACCGGGCGGUCCGCAACCCCGGGGCGUCUCAUUCUCUUUGAGAAGUGGCGCACCCAGAGCGUACACGUUGGGACCCGAAAGAUGGUGAACUAUGCUUGGCCAGGACGAAGUCAGGGGAAACCCUGAUGGAGGUCCGUAGCGAUUCUGACGUGCAAAUCGAUCGUCGGAGCUGAGUAUAGGGGCGAAAGACUAAUCGAACCAUC